RNAcentral lists this ribosomal RNA (339 nucleotides) under uncultured soil bacterium. RNAcentral's name for it is "bacterial SSU rRNA". It matches the Rfam family "Bacterial small subunit ribosomal RNA", at positions 26 to 376 of the family's 1533-position model. The record is from RNAcentral.
AGAUUGAACGCUGGCGGCAUGCCUAACACAUGCAAGUCGAACGGGAGUAGCAAUACUCUAGUGGCGGACGGGUGAGGAAUACGUAGGAAUUUGCCCUUAAGUGGGGGAUAACCCGGGGAAACCCGGAUUAAUACCGCAUGACCUCGAAAGAGCAAAGUGGGGGAUCGCAAGACCUCACGCUUUUGGAGAAGCCUACGUCGGAUUAGCUAGUUGGUGAGGUAAUGGCUCACCAAGGCGACGAUCCGUAACUGGUCUGAGAGGAUGAUCAGUCACACCGGAACUGAGACACGGUCCGGACUCCUACGGGAGGCAGCAGGUGGGGAAUAUUGGACAAUGGGG